GAUAAGAACGUAGCGAAAUGCGAUAAGUAAUGUGAAUUGCAGAAUUCAGUGAAUCAUCGAAUCUUUGAACGCACAUUGCGCCCGCUAGUAUUCUGGCGGGCAUGCCUGUCCGAGCGUCAUUUCAACCCUCAAGCCCCUCCGGGGGCCUGGCGUUGGGGAUCGGCCCCGCUCCGGCGGCCGGCCCCGAAAUGUAGUGGCGGUCUCGCCGCUGCCUCCUCUGCGUAGUAGAAACACCUCGCAUUGGGACGCGGCGGGCCCACGCCGUUAACCAGAUGAAUUUUUUCAAGGUUGACCUCGGAUCAGGUAGGAAUACCCGCUGAACUUAAGCAUAUCAAUAAGCGGAGGA
Molecule: unclassified non-coding RNA, 346 nt
Filed under: soil metagenome
Description: partial contains 5.8S ribosomal RNA, internal transcribed spacer 2, and large subunit ribosomal RNA
Rfam family: 5.8S ribosomal RNA (bases 4-119)
Source: RNAcentral